GUGAAUCAUCAAAUUUUUGAACGCACGUUGCGCUUCCUGGCAUUCCGGGGAGUAUGCCUGUUUGAGGGUCAGUUUUAAUAAAAAAUCGGUUUAGUUACAAAUUGUGUCGUUUCCGGAGUUUGGGCUAUCUUAACAUUAUUGGUUAAGAGGCUUCAAAUUGACCUUUUUUGCGCAUUUAUAAACGUACAUAAAUUUUUUUUAUUCGUCUCUUCUUACU
RNAcentral lists this unclassified non-coding RNA (217 nucleotides) under Glomeraceae sp. RNAcentral's name for it is "partial contains 5.8S ribosomal RNA and internal transcribed spacer 2". The stretch from base 1 to 71 matches the Rfam family "5.8S ribosomal RNA", at positions 84 to 154 of the family's 154-position model. The record is from RNAcentral. Lineage: Eukaryota; Fungi; Glomeromycota; Glomeromycetes; Glomerales; Glomeraceae.